Molecule: long non-coding RNA, 249 nt
Filed under: Zostera marina
Lineage: Eukaryota; Viridiplantae; Streptophyta; Magnoliopsida; Alismatales; Zosteraceae
Description: long non-coding RNA (ZMAR_LNC002524)
Source: RNAcentral
GGGAAUUUUUGCAAUUUGCCAAGGGUCUAUAAAUAGAGAGUCGGCUAUUUUAAUCCGCACUCCACUUACCCUGAUUUUGCUUAAACCCUAAUCCUUUUCUAAGUCGCCGAGCUUCUUCAUAACUCGCCGACUUUCAUCACAAUCACCAGUACUCUUUCCAAAGUCGCCGAGUCUACACCUACAUCGCCGACAUAUGGCAAACCAACCGUCACUACCUAGACUUACCAUGUCGGAGACCGAGGCUCUGGU